This 497-nucleotide ribosomal RNA is filed under the name uncultured bacterium. Its description in RNAcentral is "partial 16S ribosomal RNA". It matches the Rfam family "Bacterial small subunit ribosomal RNA", at positions 28 to 507 of the family's 1533-position model. The record is from RNAcentral.
GGUGAACGCUGGCGGCGUGCCUAAUACAUGCAGGUCGAGCGAACGGACGAGAAGCUUGCUUCUCUGAUGUUAGCGGCGGACGGGUGAGUAACACGUGGAUAACCUACCUAUAAGACUGGGAUAACUUCGGGAAACCGUAGCUAAUACCGGAUAAUAUUUUGAACCGCAUGGUUCAAAAGUGAAAGACGGUCUUGCUGUCACUUAUAGAUGGAUCCGCGCUGCAUUAGCUAGUUGGUAAGGUAACGGCUUACCAAGGCAACGAUGCAUAGCCGACCUGAGAGGGUGAUCGGCCACACUGGAACUGAGACACGGUCCAGACUCCUACGGGAGGCAGCAGUAGGGAAUCUUCCGCAAUGGGCGAAAGCCUGACGGAGCAACGCCGCGUGAGUGAUGAAGGUCUUCGGAUCGUAAAACUCUGUUAUUAGGGAAGAACAUAUGUGUAAGUAACUGUGCACAUCUUGACGGUACCUAAUCAGAAAGCCACGGCUAACUACGUG